RNAcentral lists this ribosomal RNA (920 nucleotides) under uncultured bacterium. RNAcentral describes it as "bacterial SSU rRNA". It matches the Rfam family "Bacterial small subunit ribosomal RNA", at positions 33 to 944 of the family's 1533-position model. The record is from RNAcentral.
ACGCUGGCGGCAGGCUUAACACAUGCAAGUCGAACGGUAACAGGAGAAAGCUUGCUUUCUUGCUGACGAGUGGCGGACGGGUGAGUAAUGCUUGGGAAUCUGGCUUAUGGAGGGGGAUAACGACGGGAAACUGUCGCUAAUACCGCGUAGAGUCGAGAGACGAAAGUGCGGGACCGCAAGGCCGCAUGCCAUAGGAUGAGCCCAAGUGGGAUUAGGUAGUUGGUGGGGUAAUAGCCUACCAAGCCGACGAUCUCUAGCUGGUCUGAGAGGAUGACCAGCCACACCGGGACUGAGACACGGCCCGGACUCCUACGGGAGGCAGUAGUGGGGAAUAUUGCGCAAUGGGGGCAACCCUGACGCAGCCAUGCCGCGUGAAUGAAGAAGGCCUUCGGGUUGUAAAGUUCUUUCGGUAUUGAGGAAGGUUGUUGUGUUAAUAGCACGACAAAUUGACGUUAAAUACAGAAGAAGCACCGGCUAACUCCGUGCCAGCAGCCGCGGUAAUACGGAGGGUGCGAGCGUUAAUCGGAAUAACUGGGCGUAAAGGGCACGCAGGCGGACUUUUAAGUGAGGUGUGAAAUCCCCGGGCUUAACCUGGGAAUUGCAUUUCAGACUGGGAGUCUAGAGUACUUUAGGGAGGGGUAGAAUUCCACGUGUAGCGGUGAAAUGCGUAGAGAUGUGGAGGAAUACCGAAGGCGAAGGCAGCCCCUUGGGAAUGUACUGACGCUCAUGUGCGAAAGCGUGGGGAGCAAACAGGAUUAGAUACCCUGGUAGUCCACGCUGUAAACGCUGUCGAUUUGGGGAUUGGGCUUUAAGCUUGGUGCCCGAAGCUAACGUGAUAAAUCGACCGCCUGGGGAGUACGGCCGCAAGGUUAAAACUCAAAUGAAUUGACGGGGGCCCGCACAAGCGGUGGAGCAUGUGG